UCCUACGGGAGGCAGCAGUGGGGAAUAUUGCACAAUGGGCGCAAGCCUGAUGCAGCAACGCCGCGUGAGGGACGAAGGCCUUCGGGUUGUAAACCUCUUUUAGUAGGGAAGAAGCGACUGGGUUUUCCUGGGAGUGACGGUACCUGCAGAAAAAGCACCGGCUAACUACGUGCCAGCAGCCGCGGUAAUACGUAGGGUGCAAGCGUUGUCCGGAAUUAUUGGGCGUAAAGAGCUCGUAGGCGGUUUGUCGCGUCUGCUGUGAAAACCCGAGGCUCAACCUCGGGCCUGCGGUGGGUACGGGCAGACUAGAGUGCGGUAGGGGAGAUUGGAAUUCCUGGUGUAGCGGUGGAAUGCGCAGAUAUCAGGAGGAACACCAAUGGCGAAGGCAGAUCUCUGGGCCGUAACUGACGCUCAGGAGCGAAAGCAUGGGGAGCGAACAGGAUUAGAUACCCUGGUAGUCCAUGCCGUAAACGUUGGGAACUAGAUGUGGGGACCAUUCCACGGUCUCCGUGUCGCAGCUAACGCAUUAAGUUCCCCGCCUGGGGAGUACGGCCGCAAGGCUAAAACUCAAAGGAAUUGACGGGGGCCCGCACAAGCGGCGGAGCAUGCGGAUUAAUUCGAUGCAACGCGAAGAACCUUACCAAGGCUUGACAUAUACCGGAAACGGCUGGAAACAGUCGCCCCGCAAGGUCGGUAUACAGGUGGUGCAUGGUUGUCGUCAGCUCGUGUCGUGAGAUGUUGGGUUAAGUCCCGCAACGAGCGCAACCCUCGUCCUAUGUUGCCAGCACGUAAUGGUGGGAACUCAUGGGAUACUGCCGGGGUCAACUCGGAGGAAGGUGGGGAUGACGUCAAAUCAUCAUGCCCCUUAUGUCUUGGGCUUCACGCCUGCUACAAUGGCCGGUACAAAGGGCUGCGAUACCGCAAGGUGGAGCGAAUCCCAAAAAGCCGGUCUCAGUUCGGAUUGAGGUCUGCAACUCGACCUCAUGAAGUCGGAGUCGCUAGUAAUCGCAGAUCAGCAACGCUGCGGUGAAUACGUUCCCGGGCCUUGUACACACCGCC
RNAcentral lists this ribosomal RNA (1059 nucleotides) under uncultured Cryobacterium sp. Its description in RNAcentral is "bacterial SSU rRNA". It matches the Rfam family "Bacterial small subunit ribosomal RNA", at positions 337 to 1394 of the family's 1533-position model. The record is from RNAcentral. Lineage: Bacteria; Bacillati; Actinomycetota; Actinomycetes; Micrococcales; Microbacteriaceae.